RNAcentral lists this non-coding RNA (24 nucleotides) under Arabidopsis thaliana (thale cress). Lineage: Eukaryota; Viridiplantae; Streptophyta; Magnoliopsida; Brassicales; Brassicaceae. The record is from RNAcentral.
UAUACAAAACGUGAUAUAUAUGCC